Molecule: ribosomal RNA, 477 nt
Filed under: Streptococcus infantis
Lineage: Bacteria; Bacillati; Bacillota; Bacilli; Lactobacillales; Streptococcaceae
Description: bacterial SSU rRNA
Rfam family: Bacterial small subunit ribosomal RNA
Source: RNAcentral
GACGAACGCUGGCGGCGUGCCUAAUACAUGCAAGUAGAACGCUGAAGGAGGAGCUUGCUUCUCCGGAUGAGUUGCGAACGGGUGAGUAACGCGUAGGUAACCUGCCUGGUAGCGGGGGAUAACUAUUGGAAACGAUAGCUAAUACCGCAUAACAGUAGAUAUCGCAUGAUAGCUGCUUGAAAGGUGCAAUUGCACCACUACCAGAUGGACCUGCGUUGUAUUAGCUAGUUGGUGAGGUAACGGCUCACCAAGGCAACGAUACAUAGCCGACCUGAGAGGGUGAUCGGCCACACUGGGACUGAGACACGGCCCAGACUCCUACGGGAGGCAGCAGUAGGGAAUCUUCGGCAAUGGACGGAAGUCUGACCGAGCAACGCCGCGUGAGUGAAGAAGGUUUUCGGAUCGUAAAGCUCUGUUGUAAGAGAAGAACGAGUGUGAGAGUGGAAAGUUCACACUGUGACGGUAUCUUACCAGAAA